CCUACGGGAGGCAGCAGUAGGGAAUCUUCCACAAUGGACGAAAGUCUGAUGGAGCAACGCCGCGUGAGUGAAGAAGGGUUUCGGCUCGUAAAGCUCUGUUGGUAGUGAAGAAAGAUAGAGGUAGUAACUAGACUUUAUUUGACGGUAAUUUCUUAGAAAGUCACGGCUAACUACGUGCCAGCAGCCGCGGUAAUACGUAGGUGGCAAGCGUUGGCCGGAUUUAUUGGGCGUAAAGCGAGUGCAGGCGGUUCAAUAAGUCUGAUGUGAAAGCCUUCGGCUCAACCGGAGAAUUGCAUAAGAAACUGUUGAACGUGAGUGCAGAAGAGGAGAGAGGAACGCCAUGUGUAGCGGUGGAAUGCGUAGAUAUAUGGAAGAACACCAGUGGCGAAGGCGGCUCUCUGGUCUGCAACUGACGCUGAGGCUCGAAAGCAGGGGUAGCGAACAGGAUUAGAUACCCCUGU
This 461-nucleotide ribosomal RNA is filed under the name uncultured bacterium. Its description in RNAcentral is "partial 16S ribosomal RNA". It matches the Rfam family "Bacterial small subunit ribosomal RNA", at positions 338 to 791 of the family's 1533-position model. The record is from RNAcentral.